RNAcentral lists this unclassified non-coding RNA (121 nucleotides) under Salmonella enterica subsp. enterica serovar Typhisuis. Its description in RNAcentral is "yybP-ykoY". The stretch from base 8 to 99 matches the Rfam family "Manganese Mn2+ riboswitch aptamer (yybP-ykoY)". From Rfam's summary of the family: This RNA was originally discovered in E. coli during a large scale screen and was named SraF. The family was later found to exist upstream of related families of protein genes in many bacteria, including the the yybP and ykoK genes in B. subtilis. Lineage: Bacteria; Pseudomonadati; Pseudomonadota; Gammaproteobacteria; Enterobacterales; Enterobacteriaceae. RNAcentral also lists the same sequence under 1 other name. The record is from RNAcentral.
GCCGUCAAUUGGGGAGUAGCCGAUUUCCAGACUCCGGAAAUGUACGCGUCAACAUACUCGUUGCAAAACGUGGCGCGUACGGACCAGCCGCCGCUGGUCAGGCGAGACCAUAGGCGCAUCA